RNAcentral lists this ribosomal RNA (114 nucleotides) under Octodon degus (degu). Lineage: Eukaryota; Metazoa; Chordata; Mammalia; Rodentia; Octodontidae. The record is from RNAcentral.
GCCUGCAGCCAGCCCUCCUUGGGCAGGGAUCCCAUCAGAUUUUUACAAGCCAGGCAGGGUCGGGCCUGGUGAAGACAUGAAUGGGAAUGCCCAAAACAACACAGGCAGCAGGCG